This is a long non-coding RNA of Cebus imitator (Panamanian white-faced capuchin), 750 nucleotides long. RefSeq lists it as uncharacterized. The transcript has 3 exons. Lineage: Eukaryota; Metazoa; Chordata; Mammalia; Primates; Cebidae. The record is from RefSeq and is a predicted model, not a curated record.
CAACAAUCAUUUUAUUUAGCUCUUUGGUGCCAACACAGUGCCAAUGUACCCAUAUGCACACCCCCUCCCCCAAGGCUUACAGUCUGAGGAAAAAACACACAGUCCCCACCCAGCCUGGGACGAAACUAGACGACCUCAUUGCGGGGGCGGGCAGGGAGUGAUCGCCCCCCCACCAGGGAAGCCAGAGAACGCCACCAGGGCACACAGGUCGCCUCUGCUAAGUCUGUGGGUUCCCUUUGGGCUGAGCGCCGGCAGCAGUCUGGUCUCCCAUCCCCUCCUCUGGGUUCCUUUCUCAAGGGCCAAAAGCGCUCCCGAAGUUGUUUGUAUUUGAGGCCAUCUGGUGGAGAGCAGGGCGUAUAACCGAGGGAUCAAAGCCGGGCUCGCCUCCCGCGGACUUGCAGAGACUGGGCUGCGCCUGGGGCGAGGAAGGACGGACCGGAGCCACCUGAGGCCGAGCGGGAGCCAGACCCAGGGAUGACCGUCCUGGGGUGCCCCCCUGCACCCCGGAGGGAACGCAGCGCGCCCCUCGCAGUCCCAGGCCCUGCCCCUCGCUGCACCGCGGAGCUCCCCACGGCUUUACAUCUAGGAGGUCUGAGACCGUCUAUUGAAUUAGCAGCAGCAGCCAUCAGCCAACAAGGGAAGCCAUGUCUUCAUGGAAAGGAAUGCCCAUUUGAUUACAAGAGUCUGGCCAUCCUCGAUUCCAGCUCCUGUCCAUCCUGACUGCCCGAGCUCUCCAGCUUCCAACAUGGG